This 460-nucleotide ribosomal RNA is filed under the name uncultured bacterium. RNAcentral's name for it is "partial 16S ribosomal RNA". It matches the Rfam family "Bacterial small subunit ribosomal RNA", at positions 338 to 795 of the family's 1533-position model. The record is from RNAcentral.
CCUACGGGAGGCAGCAGUGAGGAAUAUUGGUCAAUGGGCGAAAGCCUGAACCAGCCAAGUCGCGUGAGGGAUGACGGUCCUAUGGAUUGUAAACCUCUUUUGUCGGGGAGCAAGGCCCGCCACGUGUGGCGGGAAGGAGAGUACCCGAAGAAAAAGCAUCGGCUAACUCCGUGCCAGAAGCCGAGGUAAUACGGGGGAUGCGAGCGUUAUCCGGAUUUAUUGGGUUUAAAGGGUGCGUAGGCGGAAGGUUAAGUCAGCGGUCAAAUGUCGGUGCUCAACAUCGGACUGCCGUUGAAACUGGUCUUCUUGAGUGAGCGAGAAGUAUGCGGAAUGCGUGGUGUAGCGGUGAAAUGCAUAGAUAUCACGCAGAACUCCGAUUGCGAAGGCAGCAUACCGGCGCUCAACUGACGCUGAGGCACGAAAGCGUGGGUAUCGAACAGGAUUAGAUACCCCAGUAGUC